GCGCCAGUAGCCCAACGGAUUAGAGCAUCUGACUACGGAUCAGAAGGUUGCAGGUUCGAAUCCUGUCUGGCGCACCG
Molecule: transfer RNA, 77 nt
Filed under: Scardovia inopinata F0304
Lineage: Bacteria; Bacillati; Actinomycetota; Actinomycetes; Bifidobacteriales; Bifidobacteriaceae
Also listed under: 1 other name
Description: tRNA-Arg
Rfam family: tRNA
About the family: Transfer RNA (tRNA) molecules are approximately 80 nucleotides in length. Their secondary structure includes four short double-helical elements and three loops (D, anti-codon, and T loops).
Source: RNAcentral